UACUGCUCAGUAACACGUGGACAACCUACCCUGAGGAGGGGGAUAACCCCGGAAAACUGGGGAUAAUACCCCAUAGAUUAGGGUGGCUGGAAUGCCCCCUAGUUCAAAGGUCCGCCGCCUCAGGAUGGGUCUGCGGCCGAUUAGGUUGUUGUUGGGGUAACGGCCCAACAAGCCUUUGAUCGGUACGGGUUGUGGGAGCAAGAGCCCGGAGAUGGAUUCUGAGACACGAAUCCAGGCCCUACGGGGCGCAGCAGGCGCGAAAACUUUACAAUGCGAGAAAUCGUGAUAAGGGAACCCCGAGUGCCCGUAAAUUCGGGCUGUCCGCCAGUGCAAAAAACUGGUGAAGAAAGAGCCGGGCAAGACCGGUGCCAGCCGCCGCGGUAAUACCGGCGGCUCGAGUGGUGGCCACUAUUACUGGGCUUAAAGCGUCCGUAGCUUGGUUGUUAAGUCUCCUGGGAAAUCCAUCGGCUCAACCGAUGGGCGUUCAGGAGAUACUGGCAACCUAGGGACCGGGAGAGGUGAGAGGUACUCCAGGGGUAGGAGUGAAAUCCUGUAAUCCUUGGGGGACCACCUGUGGCGAAGGCGUCUCACUAGAACGGCUCCGACAGUGAGGGACGAAAGCUGGGGGAGCAAACCGGAUUAGAUACCCGGGUAGUCCCAGCUGUAAACGAUGCGCGUUAGGUGUAUCGGUGACCACGAGUCACCGAGGUGCCGAAGGGAAACCGUGAAACGUGCCGCCUGGGAAGUACGGUCGCAAGGCUGAAACUUAAAGGAAUUGGCGGGGGAGCACCACAACAGGUGGAGCCUGCGGUUUAAUCGGACUCAACGCCGGGAAGCUCACCGGAUAAGACAGCUGAAUGAUAGCCGGGUUGAAGACUCUGCUUGACUAGCUGAGAGGAGGUGCAUGGCCGUCGUCAGUUCGUACUGUGAAGCAUCCUGUUAAGUCAGGCAACGAGCGAGACCCGGCC
RNAcentral lists this ribosomal RNA (968 nucleotides) under uncultured archaeon. Its description in RNAcentral is "bacterial SSU rRNA". It matches the Rfam family "Archaeal small subunit ribosomal RNA", at positions 84 to 1057 of the family's 1478-position model. The record is from RNAcentral.